RNAcentral lists this ribosomal RNA (255 nucleotides) under uncultured bacterium. RNAcentral's name for it is "partial 16S ribosomal RNA". It matches the Rfam family "Bacterial small subunit ribosomal RNA", at positions 524 to 776 of the family's 1533-position model. The record is from RNAcentral.
UACGGGGGGAGCAAGCGUUGUUCGGAUUUACUGGGCGUAAAGGGCGCGUAGGCGGCCACCGCAAGUCGACUGUGAAAUCUCCGGGCUUAACCCGGAAAGGUCAGCCGAUACUGCGGGGCUAGAGUGCAGAAGGGGCAACUGGAAUUCUCGGUGUAGCGGUGAAAUGCGUAGAUAUCGAGAGGAACACCUGCGGCGAAGGCGGGUGCUGGGCUGACACUGACGCUGAUGCGCGAAAGCCGUAGGGGAGCGAACGGG